UGAGACCACUGGGCAUGCGCGGCGCUGACGGAAAGGUUGGCUGUGUGUUAGAAGCAGUUCUCCGCUGGACACGACAAGGUGAAGGCGAGUCUUCCGCUGCUACGUGCUUCCAGCUGGCCCACGCUAGGACGCCUUCCCCUGCCCUAUGUUACUCAGGCUGCCACACGCCAGCCACUACAGUCUGAUCCUGCCACCACUUGAGGAGACGCGGCGAUGCUGAUUUUCCUUGUGCAGCGAACUGUACGUACACUGGACGGCCUCGUUCCACUGGAGGAAGAAAGUGUUGUGUGACGUCACCGUAACAUCCAGAGCCACGGCACACCGGACGCCUCUUUGCGCCUCACGCGUCAAAUAUCGGUUAUUAAACUUCUGUUUUUUUUUUCAAAAUUCCACUUUAAUAGCCGGGGACUGCUCGAUUCUGCGUUAAAAAGCCUGGUAUGCAAAUGUGUUCGCUGAAGAAAUGCUAUUCCUGCCCACGCCAGAAAAUGCAGAAAAAAAAAAAAAAAAUACAUGUCUGACUGCUGAAAAUGUGCCCUGGCCGAGAUAAAUGUCACGCCGCUCACUGACGGCGCGUUACUGACAACCCGCAACCAAAUAAUACAAGGGACAGACUCGGAGGGUAAGCACCAAAAGGAAGAACAAAUAAAUAGAUAAAUAGAGAGAUAAAUAAAUAAACACGGAAACAAAGAGGAGCUGGAGGAGUCGAGAGUCAUUGGUCGUUUGUAAUCUACCUUAUUUUGUUGUCGCUGUCUCCCUCUGGCAUCGUCACGGCAGCUUCUUUCCCUUCCCUCCAACACGAGACACAAAACAAACAUGUACACCGAGAGAGAGAGAGAGAGAGAGAGAGAGAGAGAGAGAGAGAGAGAGAGAGAGAGAGAGAGAGAGAGAGAGAGAGAGAGAGAGAGAGAGAGAGAGAGAGAGAGAGAGAGAGUGCCAAUAUGUGUUGGCAUAGAGGCGUGCUGAGACGCCAUUAGGUCAAGUGGCAGUGUAAACAUAACGGGCGGGGUGAGUGCUCGUUAGACCUUUGUGGCCCUGCUUGCCUCGCCUCGCCCCGCCUUUCACCCUCUACAGCCUUACACCUGCCGCCUUGCCAUCGCCACACACACACACACACACACACACACACACUUCCUCUGCACCAUCUCCUUUUCUUCGUCCUCAUAUUCCUCUUCGUUCUCGUCGCCAUCCUGCUUCUUGUGUUCAUCAUCCUCUUUUCCUUCAUCGCUCUUUUUGUCCAGGAACACUUUCUCCUCCUGCUUUCUUCUUCUUCCUUUUUCUUCCUCCUCCUCGCCCUGUUCGACAACACAGUUCUCAUGCAGUUUUCCACUUCUCUUUGUGUUGCUGUUUUCUUCCUUUCUUUCCUAGUUUCCAGCGCAUUUUGUUUUUAUCUAUUCUUGCUCUAAACCACCGUCAUUAUCUGCAUUUCUUUGAUCUGCUUCGUUCUUUUUCUUGUUUUGGUUCUGUCUCUGUCUAUCUAUGCAAAUUCUGCAGUGUUCUCUCUUUCUCUCCUCUGAAAGAAACUUGGCAUAAUAAAAUUUUCCACUAAGUCUCGACUAGUUGCUAAACUUGAUGCAAUUCUUUUCGGAAUAAUUUUUUACACACCGAAACCUUUUCAGCAAUAUUCAACUUCCUUAAUGUUUUAUUCUACUUAUCUUAUUUUAAACACUUUAAUUAUUCUUUUCUUUUACCUUCUUGUGUUGAGCACGAAGCUUGCGGUCUGUGCAACCUUUUGUCCCUCCACCUGCAGUCUUCACGCGUCUCACACACUGACGCACUGAAAGGAAAUGCCCCCCAAGCAAUAGUUUUUCAAUUCCUUGUGUAGUGGUAAUUGCUUCCGUGUCAAGGAUAUUAUGACUGAAGACUGAAAGCCGCGUCUUACUUCCAAGCUAGCACUGAUGAAUGGUCCCACACUAUAAGAAGAGCGAAGUAUCACACUCUUAUCACUCUUGUCUCUACUUAAUUCAGCAUUACACGGCCUCAUCGCAUCUGUCAGGCAUCGUAAGUAAGAUGUCACAGUUUAUCAUACUGAACGUUUUUUCUGCUACGGUUGUCACUCUGCCAUUAAAGUUACGUACAUUUUCA
This is a long non-coding RNA of Scylla paramamosain (green mud crab), 2082 nucleotides long. RefSeq lists it as uncharacterized. The transcript has 4 exons. The record is from RefSeq and is a predicted model, not a curated record. NCBI's taxonomy places the organism in Eukaryota, Metazoa, Arthropoda, Malacostraca, Decapoda, Portunidae.